AUGGAUCAGGCUAGUUAUUCAUAUACCGAGCAUGGUUUUGAACAAGCAAUGGAAGGCAUGAAAAGAGAGCGUGAGGCAGCUUGGAAAUGGCUUAGAAAGAUACCCAAGCAUACAUGGGCUAGACAUGCCAUGGACAAGAAUUGUAAAACUGAUUUGGUUGUUAACAAUAUUAGUGAAGUGUUCAACAAAAUGGUACUUGAUGUGAGAGGGAAACCAAUUAAAACCAUGGUUGAUGGCAUCAGAACAAAAUUGCUAGUUAAGUUCAAUGCCAAUAGGACCAGGACUGAGACAGCCAAGUGGCAGAUAUGCCCAACAUAUGCUGAGAAGCUAGAAGAAGCAAAACACCAUGCUAGAUAUUGUCAGUCAAUCAAAGUAGGACCUGAUCUAUACCAGGUUAGCAGUGGAGAAAGCAGAUAUGCAGUUAAUCUGCAAGUGCACACAUGUGGGUGUAGCAAAUGGGACAUGACUGGUGUUCCUUGCAAGCAUGGUGUUUCUGCAAUUACAAGGCAAAACUUCAUCCAGAAGAUUUUGUUAGUGAUUUCUUCAAGAAACCAAUGUACCAAGCAGCCUACAAUCCAAUUGUGUAUCCUGUGUCUGGGCCUAAUCUAUGGCCAAAUACUGGGACCCCUGACAUAG
This 636-nucleotide ribosomal RNA is filed under the name Triticum aestivum (bread wheat). RNAcentral describes it as "partial small subunit ribosomal RNA". Lineage: Eukaryota; Viridiplantae; Streptophyta; Magnoliopsida; Poales; Poaceae. The record is from RNAcentral.